This 459-nucleotide ribosomal RNA is filed under the name uncultured bacterium. RNAcentral describes it as "partial 16S ribosomal RNA". It matches the Rfam family "Bacterial small subunit ribosomal RNA", at positions 338 to 795 of the family's 1533-position model. The record is from RNAcentral.
CCUACGGGAGGCAGCAGUGAGGAAUAUUGGUCAAUGGGCGCGAGCCUGAACCAGCCAAGUCGCGUGAGGGAAGACGGUCCUAUGGAUUGUAAACCUCUUUUGUCGGGGAGCAAAAGACGCCACGCGUGGCGUUCCGAGAGUACCCGAAGAAAAAGCAUCGGCUAACUCCGUGCCAGCAGCCGCGGUAAUACGGGGGAUGCGAGCGUUAUCCGGAUGUAUUGGGUUAAAGGGGUGCGCAGGCGGAAGAUCAAGUCAGCGGUAAAAUUGAGGGGCUCAACCUCUUCGAGCCGUUGAAACUGGUUUUCUUGAGUGAGUGAGAAGUAUGCGGAAUGCGUGGUGUAGCGGUGAAAUGCAUAGAUAUCACGCAGAACUCCGAUUGCGAAGGCAGCAUACCGGCGCUCAACUGACGCUCAUGCACGAAAGUGUGGGUAUCGAACAGGAUUAGAUACCCCAGUAGUC